UGCUAGUUUUUUUACUUAAUUAGCUUAAUUUUGUAGUUCUUUAUUCCUAUAUUCUUAAGAAAUAUAAAUAUUUAUGCUAAUAGCAUAAAUCUUGAGAGAAAAUUUUUUUAAUUUAAUAGCCGAAUUUUUUAUCCCGAAUUUUUAAUUGGUGAACGUAUAAUAUCCGUAUAAAUCACGUAUCCGAAUAAUUGAUAAUUCCGUUUUUUAGCCGUAUUUUUUAACGAACUUAAAAAUUAGAAGACGAAUUUUAUCUGAAUUAUAAUAUUAAGAUUUGUAACGACCUGAGACUCGUCGCAACCGCCUUCGUCGAGUAGUUGUCGAGGCGUGGAUGGCGACGGGGCUCUUGGUGAUAAUUGCGAGGUAAAAUUGUUGCUUUUUUUUUUUAGAGAGAGAUAGGUAGCACGCUACCCGCUUCGUUUAUUUAAUUUAGAAAUAAACUUAGCUAGAAAUGUGAAUCAACUAGAAUUCGAACUUGGGUCUUGGUUACCAACCAUCAAGCCCUUUGCCACUUGCUCUAGGGACGGUCGGUGAGGUAAAAUUGUUGCUGGAGUCGAUUGGAGGAGAGGUAAGGGUUGUGAGGUGAGAGAAUUGAGAGAGAAUUGAGUGGGAGAGAUGGGGAUUAGAGAAGAGGAGGGUUAGGAAACAGCGAGUUGGAAGAGGAUUGGGGGAAGAAGCCUGUAAUAUUUUCAUUCAU
Molecule: long non-coding RNA, 694 nt
Filed under: Ananas comosus (pineapple)
Lineage: Eukaryota; Viridiplantae; Streptophyta; Magnoliopsida; Poales; Bromeliaceae
Description: long non-coding RNA (ACOM_LNC035542)
Source: RNAcentral